AGGUGUAAUCAUACUAGCACUUGUGCAUCGGAUCCCAUCAGAACUCCACAGAUAAGCGUGCUUGGGCAAGAGUAGUACUAGGAUCGGUGACCUCCUGGGAAGUCCUCAUGUUCGAUCAU
This 119-nucleotide ribosomal RNA is filed under the name Lupinus angustifolius (narrow-leaved blue lupine). The record is from RNAcentral. Lineage: Eukaryota; Viridiplantae; Streptophyta; Magnoliopsida; Fabales; Fabaceae.